Passer domesticus (house sparrow) is the source of this 2289-nucleotide long non-coding RNA. RefSeq lists it as uncharacterized. The transcript has 5 exons. The record is from RefSeq and is a predicted model, not a curated record. NCBI's taxonomy places the organism in Eukaryota, Metazoa, Chordata, Aves, Passeriformes, Passeridae.
AGAGGAAGAGGACUUCAAACAGAAGACACUGCUUGUAUUAGUAGCAUAUAAGGCUAAAAUCUGUAUCUACUCUGAGUGUAAAGGCAUUUCAUUCUAAGCACUGGAAUUCUAGCUGUCUCUACCAUGAGAAAUUUGUAUGCUGGAAAGAAAAGAGAAGUGGAGGUGGGUAGGAAAAGAAUUAACAUUUUAAAAGAGAUAAUAGACCUGAUUUUGAAAGCCACUGAGAAAUUCUGAGAAAUUACUGGGGCUAAGAGGGGCUGAGAGUGCUCAGAAAUGUUAAAAAUCUGGCAUAGGUAUUGACUUUGCAGUAAUGAGUCAACAUUAUUAGAAAAGUAGAAAACAAGCACUGUUCAGAAAAGAACCCUAGACCAGUCACAGCAGCCCCUUAAUGUUCUUAUGUCCUGCUCUCUUCGACAUCUGUUUCCCUUUACACAGGAGAUAAAUUCCUCCCAUACCACAUAGCAUUCCUUGAGAAGUGUUAUUACUUGCUGAAACAAGAAGUUCCCCAGAAGCACUGUGUGCCACUGCUGUCAAUCAGUCUUUAAGAGCUUUUUAGCAGCUAAUGGAUGGCGUGUUUGUUGCUGUUUCAUGGAACAUGAUGGCUGAAGUGUCACAGUAAGGGUCUGUGUAAAUAAUGCCCAGAUGGCAAUGUGGCUUGCAGGCAAGACUGAGGAUUGUGUCGCUGAAUGGAGUGGGAGGACUGCUGGUGGAAGAACACCUGAAAAUGAGUGGACCUGCCAGAUGCUUUCACACAUAUUCACAUGAUGCCAUCCAUACCUGCACAUAAAAUAGUGGCAAGUUGUUUUAAAGUUUGGAAUGUGUUUUUCACUGUUCCUCUUGAGAGUGUCUGUGUGGUGUGAGGCAAUGCUGUGUGGUAACACCCACCCACACUGUCACCCAGACACUGGCAGCCUCGUUGUUACUCUGGCAUGGGACACUGCUCUGUCACUGGCUCUGCCAAUGCACAAAUCGGAUGAAAUAUUGGCCUUUUUAUGCCAACACAACACAAAAAUCCCCGCUGAUGUUAAAGGUCAUUGUCUCAUGCUGCCUCCAGACAGAGCUGUCUUUGUGCUGGAAGACAAAGGAGUAACACAGGGUAGUGGCCGUGGAGAAAAAUAAUUUGCAGCAUUCCUCUUUAUUUUCAGACUUUGGAGAUUUGUAUGAGGAAUUAAUUCUGUGGGGUUUGCACUUUUAAAUCAAUAAUGAAGCCAAAGACCUGUCACGGUGAGCAGGAACAGAUCGAUUUCUGGGUGUCAAAGGCCAUGUUACUGGUGAUGUGCAAGACUUCUUCCAGCGUUGCCACAACAGACACCUUCACAGGAGCCCAGCUGCCUGUGAAGUAAGGUGCUGUCAUUGUUCAGAAAUGCACCAUCUCUGGUUAAAAUUAGUUAUAAACCAGUUCAGUCUGAGUAGUCAGCACCAUGGUUCUGUGCAGCUCGGGGGCAGUGGACUUGUAUUUUAUUUCUGCGCUUAUGAGGCAUUUUACUGAGCACUCAGGUGAGUGAAAGGAGCUAGUGAUUCCCACCGGAGUAAUGCAGAAAUAAAUGUGAUUUUGGAAGAUGGACAGGUGUCCCUGCUUUUCUCUGUGCUGUUCAGAAAUUUCUGCCUACUGAGACUGCUGCUUGCCAUAGUUUGCAAAACAUAUUUUUUGCAGAACGCCUCAGACUGACCAGGCAACAAAGUCUAAUAAGCCUUAACUAUAAAGUUUGUUUAAAUUGCUGCUUGUCUACUGUGAAUCAGAGGUGGUUCCUGUUUAAUUGUUAAUCUGAGAACAAAAUUAGCUGAUGUUUUACAAACUAAUGCUUUAUUCACUCAAAGUAUUUUGUAAAUUGUUAAACAAUGGAAAGGUGACAAGGUAUUUUUAUUUGUGACAUAUUUUAUUUUAUCUUUGUGAUUUCCUACAUGAAGGUUAGGUUCCUAUUGUGUCUAAAAUAAAAGCACAGACAGUUCCAAUGGGCCUUUUUAGUUUUGUUUUAAAAAUUGCCAGUGUGUUAGUAUGCAAGGUGGCUGAGGUAGUAUGGCAGAAGUUUUUGUUACAAUGUGAUGCAAAAAGUUGAUUUACCCCAGCUCUCAUAGUGCAGCUUUUAAACAAACAACAUCAAACUACCACAAUCAAGGUUAAACAUCUAAUGCAUCCUUGACAAUUACAAGAAAAGCUGCAAAAAUAGGUAGGAUUAAGAGCAGCGCAAUUAGUGGCCUGGCACAGUACCCUUGCAGGGAGCACUGCACACUGCAGUGGGAGAGGGAAGAUUUUUGCUUUUUGGGUUCAUUUCAUCCUGUUGGGGUUUU